Molecule: non-coding RNA, 273 nt
Organism: Pelobates cultripes (western spadefoot toad)
Lineage: Eukaryota; Metazoa; Chordata; Amphibia; Anura; Pelobatidae
Source: the annotation of a GenBank genome assembly
GGGAGGGGGUGACUAGUGACAGAGUGAGGGAGGGUAUGACUAGUGACAGAGUGAGGGAGGGGGUGACACAAUGACAGAGGGAGGGAUGGGGUGACUAGUGACAGUCACCACCUCCUUCACUCUGUCACUAGUCACUCCCUCCCUCCCUCUGUCAUUGUGUCACCCCCUUCCUCACUCUGUCACUAGUCACCCCCUUACUCUGUCACUAGUCAGCCCCUCUCUCACUCUGUCACUAGUCAUCCCCUUCCUUACUGUCACUAGUCACCCCCUCCC